This 465-nucleotide ribosomal RNA is filed under the name Vreelandella stevensii. Its description in RNAcentral is "partial 16S ribosomal RNA". It matches the Rfam family "Bacterial small subunit ribosomal RNA", at positions 338 to 795 of the family's 1533-position model. The record is from RNAcentral. Lineage: Bacteria; Pseudomonadati; Pseudomonadota; Gammaproteobacteria; Oceanospirillales; Halomonadaceae.
CCUACGGGGGGCUGCAGUGGGGAAUAUUGGACAAUGGGGGCAACCCUGAUCCAGCCAUGCCGCGUGUGUGAAGAAGGCCCUCGGGUUGUAAAGCACUUUCAGUGAGGAAGAACGCCUGGUGGUUAAUACCCAUCAGGAAAGACAUCACUCACAGAAGAAGCACCGGCUAACUCCGUGCCAGUAGCCGCGGUAAUACGGAGGGUGCGAGCGUUAAUCGGAAUUACUGGGCGUAAAGCGCGCGUAGGUGGCUUGAUAAGCCGGUUGUGAAAGCCCCGGGCUCAACCUGGGAACGGCAUCCGGAACUGUCAAGCUAGAGUGCAGGAGAGGAAGGUAGAAUUCCCGGUGUAGCGGUGAAAUGCGUAGAGAUCGGGAGGAAUACCAGUGGCGAAGGCGGCCUUCUGGACUGACACUGACACUGAGGUGCGAAAGCGUGGGUAGCAAACAGGAUUAGAUACCCGAGUAGUC